Molecule: ribosomal RNA, 492 nt
Filed under: uncultured bacterium
Lineage: Bacteria
Description: bacterial SSU rRNA
Rfam family: Bacterial small subunit ribosomal RNA
Source: RNAcentral
AGAGUUUGAUCCUGGCUCAGGAUAAACGCUGCGGCGCACAUAAGACAUGCAAGUCGAACGAACAGAAGUCAUUCUUAUAGAUUGAUGGAAGUUAGUGGCGGACUGGUGAGUAAAGUAUAAGUAACCUGCCUAUCAGAGGGGAACAACAGUUGGAAACGACUGCUAAUACCGCAUAUGCCAUAAGAAUCGCAUGGUUCAAGUGGGAAAGGAGAAAUCCGCUGAUAGAUGGACUUAUAUCUGAUUAGCUAGUUGGUGGGGUAAAGGCCUACCAAGGCGACGAUCAGUAGCCGGACUGAGAGGUUAAACGGCCACAUUGGGACUGAGAUACGGCCCAGACUCCUACGGGAGGCAGCAGGUCGGGAAUAUUGCGCAAUGGAGGAAACUCUGACGCAGUGACGCCGCGUGCAGGAAGAAGGUUUUCGGAUUGUAAACUGCUUUAGACAGGGAAGAAAAAAGACAGUACCUGUAGAAUAAGCUCCGGCUAACUACGUG